RNAcentral lists this ribosomal RNA (465 nucleotides) under Vreelandella stevensii. Its description in RNAcentral is "partial 16S ribosomal RNA". It matches the Rfam family "Bacterial small subunit ribosomal RNA", at positions 338 to 795 of the family's 1533-position model. Lineage: Bacteria; Pseudomonadati; Pseudomonadota; Gammaproteobacteria; Oceanospirillales; Halomonadaceae. The record is from RNAcentral.
CCUACGGGUGGCUGCAGUGGGGAAUAUUGGACAAUGGGCGAAAGCCUGAUCCAGCCAUGCCGCGUGUGUGAAGAAGGCCUUCGGGUUGUAAAGCACUUUCAGUGGGGAAGAAAGCCUUGGGGCUAAUACCCUCGAGGAAGGACAUCACCCACAGAAGAAGCACCGGCUAACUCCGUGCCAGCAGCCGCGGUAAUACGGGGGGUGCGAGCGUUAAUCGGAAUUACUGGGCGUAAAGCGCGCGUAGGCGGUCUGAUAAGCCGGUUGUGAAAGCCCCGGGCUCAACCUGGGAACGGCAUCCGGAACUGUCAGGCUAGAGUGCAGGAGAGGAAGGUAGAAUUCCCGGUGUAGCGGUGAAAUGCGUAGAGAUCGGGAGGAAUACCAGUGGCGAAGGCGGCCUUCUGGACUGACACUGACGCUGAGGUGCGAAAGCGUGGGUAGCAAACAGGAUUAGAUACCCGGGUAGUC